GUGGGGAAUAUUGGGCAAUGGGCGCAAGCCUGACCCAGCAACGCCGCGUGAAGGAAGAAGGCUUUCGGGUUGUAAACUUCUUUUACCAGGGACGAAACAAAUGACGGUACCUGGUGAAUAAGCCACGGCUAACUACGUGCCAGCAGCCGCGGUAAUACGUAGGUGGCGAGCGUUAUCCGGAUUUAUUGGGUGUAAAGGGCGUGUAGGCGGGACAGCAAGUCAGAUGUGAAAACCAGAGGCUCAACCUCUGGCCUGCAUUUGAAACUGUUGUUCUUGAGUGUCGGAGAGGUAAUCGGAAUUCCGUGUGUAGCGGUGAAAUGCGUAGAUAUACGGAGGAACACCAGUGGCGAAGGCGGAUUACUGGACGAUAACUGACGCUGAGGCGCGAAAGCGUGGGGAGCAAACAGGAUUAGAAACCCGGGUAUCC
RNAcentral lists this ribosomal RNA (427 nucleotides) under uncultured bacterium. RNAcentral describes it as "partial 16S ribosomal RNA". It matches the Rfam family "Bacterial small subunit ribosomal RNA", at positions 354 to 795 of the family's 1533-position model. The record is from RNAcentral.